Molecule: non-coding RNA, 75 nt
Organism: Myotis davidii
Lineage: Eukaryota; Metazoa; Chordata; Mammalia; Chiroptera; Vespertilionidae
Source: Rfam
GGCAGUUCUCAGGUGACGGACCCAGGAAUCGGGCUACCUCCUCUCUGGUUCUGGGUGCAUCACCCGAGAACCGCA